GGUUGGAUUCCCGAGUUGGUUAAAGGGAGCAGACUGUAAAUCUGCCGCCGCGUGCUUCGUAGGUUCGAAUCCUACUCCAACCACCA
This 86-nucleotide transfer RNA is filed under the name compost metagenome. RNAcentral's name for it is "tRNA-Tyr". It matches the Rfam family "tRNA". Rfam says of the family: Transfer RNA (tRNA) molecules are approximately 80 nucleotides in length. Their secondary structure includes four short double-helical elements and three loops (D, anti-codon, and T loops). Further hydrogen bonds mediate the characteristic L-shaped molecular structure. tRNAs have two regions of fundamental functional importance: the anti-codon, which is responsible for specific mRNA codon recognition, and the 3' end, to which the tRNAs corresponding amino acid is attached (by aminoacyl-tRNA synthetases). tRNAs cope with the degeneracy of the genetic code in two manners: having more than one tRNA (with a specific anti-codon) for a particular amino acid; and 'wobble' base-pairing, i.e. permitting non-standard base-pairing at the 3rd anti-codon position. The record is from RNAcentral.